CCGAAAGGCGUAGUCGAUGGGAAACGGGUUAAUAUUCCCGUACUUGGUGUUACUGCGAAGGGGGGACGGAGAAGGCUAUGUUGGCCGGGCGACGGUUGUCCCGGUUUAAGCGUGUAGGUGUGUGUUCCAGGUAAAUCCGGUUCACUUUAACACUGAGGCGUGACGACGAGGCACUACGGUGCUGAAGCAACAAAUGCCCUGCUUCCAGGAAAAGCCUCUAAGCAUCAGGUAACAUCAAAUCGUACCCCAAACCGACACAGGUGGUCAGGUAGAGAAUACCAAGGCGCUUGAGAGAACUCGGGUGAAGGAACUAGGCAAAAUGGUGCCGUAACUUCGGGAGAAGGCACGCUGACACGUAGGUGAAGUGAUUUACUCAUGGAGCUGAAGUCAGUCGAAGAUACCAGCUGGCUGCAACUGUUUAUUAAAAACACAGCACUGUGCAAACACGAAAGUGGACGUAUACGGUGUGACGCCUGCCCGGUGCCGGAAGGUUAAUUGAUGGGGUCAGCGCAAGCGAAGCUCCUGAUCGAAGCCCCGGUAAACGGCGGCCGUAACUAUAACGGUCCUAAGGUAGCGAAAUUCCUUGUCGGGUAAGUUCCGACCUGCACGAAUGGCGUAAUGAUGGCCAGGCUGUCUCCACCCGAGACUCAGUGAAAUUGAACUCGCUGUGAAGAUGCAGUGUACCCGCGGCAAGACGGAAAGACCCCGUGAACCUUUACUAUAGCUUGACACUGAACAUUGAGCCUUGAUGUGUAGGAUAGGUGGGAGGCUUUGAAGUGUGGACGCCAGUCUGCAUGGAGCCGACCUUGAAAUACCACCCUUUAAUGUUUGAUGUUCUAACGUGGACCCGUAAUCCGGGUUGCGGACAGUGUCUGGUGGGUAGUUUGACUGGGGCGGUCUCCUCCUAAAGAGUAACGGAGGAGCACGAAGGUUGGCUAAUCCUGGUCGGACAUCAGGAGGUUAGUGCAAUGGCAUAAGCCAGCUUGACUGCGAGCGUGACGGCGCGAGCAGGUGCGAAAGCAGGUCAUAGUGAUCCGGUGGUUCUGAAUGGAAGGGCCAUCGCUCAACGGAUAAAAGGUACUCCGGGGAUAACAGGCUGAUACCGCCCAAGAGUUCAUAUCGACGGCGGUGUUUGGCACCUCGAUGUCGGCUCAUCACAUCCUGGGGCUGAAGUAGGUCCCAAGGGUAUGGCUGUUCGCCAUUUAAAGUGGUACGCGAGCUGGGUUUAGAACGUCGUGAGACAGUUCGGUCCCUAUCUGCCGUGGGCGCUGGAGAACUGAGGGGGGCUGCUCCUAGUACGAGAGGACCGGAGUGGACGCAUCACUGGUGUUCGGGUUGUCAUGCCAAUGGCACUGCCCGGUAGCUAAAUGCGGAAGAGAUAAGUGCUGAAAGCAUCUAAGCACGAAACUUGCCCCGA
This 1417-nucleotide ribosomal RNA is filed under the name Salmonella enterica subsp. enterica serovar Virchow. RNAcentral describes it as "partial 23S ribosomal RNA". It matches the Rfam family "Bacterial large subunit ribosomal RNA", at positions 1402 to 2802 of the family's 2925-position model. Lineage: Bacteria; Pseudomonadati; Pseudomonadota; Gammaproteobacteria; Enterobacterales; Enterobacteriaceae. RNAcentral also lists the same sequence under 1 other name. The record is from RNAcentral.